AUUGAACGCUGGCGGCAGGCCUAACACAUGCAAGUCGGACGGUAGCACAGAGGAGCUUGCUCCUCGGGUGACGAGUGGCGGACGGGUGAGUAAUGUCUGGGAAACUGCCCGAUGGAGGGGGAUAACUACUGGAAACGGUAGCUAAUACCGCAUAACGUCGCAAGACCAAAGUGGGGGACCUUCGGGCCUCACACCAUCGGAUGUGCCCAGAUGGGAUUAGCUGGUAGGCGGGGUAACGGCCCACCUAGGCGACGAUCCCUAGCUGGUCUGAGAGGAUGACCAGCCACACUGGAACGGAGACACGGUCCAGACUCCUACGGGAGGCAGCAGUGGGGAAUAUUGCACAAUGGGCGCAAGCCUGAUGCAGCCAUGCCGCGUGUAUGAAGAAGGCCUUCGGUUUGUAAAGUACUUUCAGCGGGGAGGAAGGUGCUGAGGUUAAUAAGCUCAGCAAUUGACGUUACCCGCAGAAGAAGCACCGGCUAACUCCGUGCCAGCCGCCGCAGUAA
This 506-nucleotide ribosomal RNA is filed under the name uncultured bacterium. RNAcentral describes it as "partial 16S ribosomal RNA". It matches the Rfam family "Bacterial small subunit ribosomal RNA", at positions 29 to 523 of the family's 1533-position model. The record is from RNAcentral.